Drosophila melanogaster (fruit fly) is the source of this 3138-nucleotide non-coding RNA. The record is from Ensembl. Lineage: Eukaryota; Metazoa; Arthropoda; Insecta; Diptera; Drosophilidae.
CAUAAUUUAUAAUAAUAGUACUUUAUGGUGUAUUUAUAUUCUAAUGUGGCCAAAUAAAUUCAUUUUCACCGUGGACUUUGCAUUAAUACUAAAGAUUAAUAAUUAUUGGUCAGCGAAUCGUUGUAUGAAUUGAAUGAUAAACUUUUUUUUUAUUGUACAUGUCACUUUUUAAUAAGCUUUAGAUCAAAUCUUUAAUGUCAGCUUAAUGUAUUGUACAAUGUAGACAUUCGCUUUAAAGGUCGCGUUCAAAUUUUAAUUAUAGAAUUUAAGUGUAGAAUACUUUGAAAUAUUAGAGGUAACUUAAAAUUAGCCAAGGAAAAGGCCGCCGCCACGGUUAAUGGAUCCUCCAAGGUGAGCGCCACCCAAUCCAAUUCCGGCACUUCCAGAGUUCCCGCCGAGAUUGCCACCAAGGCUUAGACCAUUUCCUCCCAGACUGAUACUUCCCUGGCGAUAUCCUCCUUGGCUGGCAGAUCCGCUCGAUCCCAAGGAGGCAGUGCUACCACCGAGAGAGAGACUUCCCGAACCCACAGCAGGGGUCAGUAUACCACUGGCGACUCCAUGGGCCAGAGACGCAGCCUCGUGGGCACCGGCUAGUCCAAUCGAUCCAGCUGUGUUAGAGUUGUGUCCGUUUGCUCCUAUUGACAGGCCAUUUGUUCCAAGUGAAGCAGAUCCUGAAUUUCCAGAGGUUCCGAUACUCAAAUGUCCGGCGUUGAUCUUGGAUGAUCCGGCGCCAGAGCCAGUAGAUCCAGAGAUUCCAACUGAUCCGAUGCUCAAGUGACCAGAUGAUCCAGUGCCAGAGGAUCCCUUAGAAGCGGAAUCAGUUGAUCCAAUGCUCAGAUGUCCGACACCAAUAGAUGCAGCUUGAGAGGAACCGGUACUUCCAGCAGAUUGGAUAUUUAGAUGACCAGCUUCGAUGGAGGCAGAACCUGAUCCGGUGUGCAGGGAACUAGAUCCCGAUGACUCAACUUUCUUGUGCUCUGUCUUGAUGUGGGCAGAUCCAGUGUGUGAUCCAGAGGCUCCAGAACCAGCAGAUCCUGAGAUUCCAGCUGAUCCGAUGCUCAAGUGGCCAGAUGAACCGAGGGCAGAGGAUCCCUUAGAGGCGGAAUCAGUUGCUCCAAUGUUCAGGUGUCCUACACCAAUAGAUGCGUGGUUUGAAGCAGCUUCGGAGGAUCCGGUAGUUCCGGCAGAUUGGACAUUCAGAUGACCAGCACCGAUGGAAGCAGAACCUGAUCCGGCGUGCAUAGAGCUUGAUCCCGAUGACUCAACUUUCUUGUUUUCUGUCUUGAUGUGGGCAGAUGCAGCGUGCGUUCCAGAGGCUCCAAUGGUUGCGGAUCCAGAACUAAUGUGGGAUUGACCAGCACUGAAUUUGGAUGAUUCGGUUUUUGAGGAAUAAGUGGAUGAAUGCCCAGAAGAGACCAUCGUGGACUCAGAUUUAUGAUAUGAAGAAGAAGUUUUCUUUUCACUGGCUCCAGUGGCGUCUACAUUAAUGUGGCCAGCAGUGCCGGAAUUCGAGCCAGAGGUUUCGAUUUUCCCAUGUCCAGCUGUGAUCUUAGCAGAACCAGCCUGAACAGAUCCAGUAUGGUGUGCACCAGUUGACGAAGAUCCAGUGAUUUUGGCAUUGCCAAGGGAGCCUGAGCUGGAUCCGGAAAUUCCAGAUGAUCCGAUGCUCAAGUGACCAGAAUUGGCUCCGGAACCAGAGGUUGCACCGUUGACAACGCCACUGGCAACUGUGUCUGCUGCCUGAGCUCCAUGAGCGGCAGUAAUUGUUCCUGCGGAAUGGAUAACAUUGGCUCCGGUUCCUGCAACUCCCAAAACUCCGUUGACAACCUGUGCUCCAUGAGCGGCACCUGUCGAUCCUGCUGCUCCAGCUUCCGCUGCAUUCAGCACUGCAUUGGCUGCAUUAACAGUUGCUGAUCCGGCGCUAUGAUGAAGGUCACUGGAACCCGAGACGCCGGAAGUGCCGAUGGUCAAGUGUGCAGUAUUCGUCUUGCUACCACUGUUGCCAGAGGUUUGAAUAUUCAAAUGUCCAACUCCUAGGGAAGCAGAUCCUGACCCACUGUGCUGAGAAGACGCUUUGUGUACCUCAUCCGCCGCCGUUACACCUGCAGAAUGCACAGCAUUGACUCCAGUCGCAGCAGCUCCCAAAACUCCGUGAGCAGCAUGUGCUCCGUAAGAUGCGGCCGUCGAUCCUGCCGAGUGCACAACAUUAGCUCCAGUUCCGGCCACUCCCAAAAUUCCGUUCACUGCCUGAGCUCCGUGAGCAGCAGCUGUUGAUCCCGCUGAAUGGAUUGCAUCUACUCCAGAUCCAGUUGCUCCUAGCACUCCAUGGGCAGCCUGAGCUCCGUGAUUGGCAGCUGCGGAUCCGGCGGAAUGAACGACAUUGGCUCCAGUCGAAGCAGCGCCCAAUAUCCCGUUCACUGCCUGAGCUCCGUGAGCAGCAGCUGUUGAUCCCGCAGAGUGGACGGCAUCUACUCCAGAUCCAGCUGCUCCUAGCACUGCAUUGGCAGCCUGAGCUCCGUGAUUGGCAGCUGCGGAUCCGGCGGAAUGAACGACAUUGGCUCCAGUCGAAGCAGCGCCCAAUAUCCCGUUCACUGCCUGAGCUCCGUGAGCAGCAGCUGUUGAUCCCGCAGAAUGGACGGCAUCUACUCCAGAUCCAGCUGCUCCUAGCACUGCAUUGGCAGCCUGAGCUCCGUGACUAGCAGCUGCGGAUCCGGCAGAGUGGACGACAUUGGCUCCAGUCGAAGCAGCGCCCAGAAUGCCAUUGGCAGCCUGAUUCAGAACCGAUCCAGAAGAUCCUCUGUUGUAUUCCCCACCCAGACUCAAUCCAGGCAGACUUGCUUGAGCCGAGCCACCACCGUUUCCGCCUCCAAAUCCAAGGCUAGCACCACCGAAGCCCAGUCCGAAUCCGGCGGAUGCCAAGGAUACGCAGCAGGCAGUUAGAAGUAAAUACAAUCCCGUGGGAGCCAUUGUCUCAAUUUUACUAACUGCUUUCCGAGAAAACGGCUUGCUUUUAUAGAACCGAAAAUGCGCCUAGCAGUAAUGACGUCAAAGCCACUACAGGCAAGCUUCGCUACCUCGAAAAGCUCCAAAUAAAUUAGAAUUUGUUAAAACUUCAUUUCAUUUCGACAUCUUAAAGAU